This 492-nucleotide ribosomal RNA is filed under the name uncultured bacterium. RNAcentral's name for it is "partial 16S ribosomal RNA". It matches the Rfam family "Bacterial small subunit ribosomal RNA", at positions 29 to 507 of the family's 1533-position model. The record is from RNAcentral.
AGUGAACGCUGGCGGUAGGCCUAACACAUGCAAGUCGAACGGCAGCACAGUAAGAGCUUGCUCUUACGGGUGGCGAGUGGCGAACGAGUGAGGAAUACAUCGGAAUCUACUUUUUCGUGGGGGAUAACGUAGGGAAACUUACGCUAAUACCGCAUACGACCUACGGGUGAAAGCAGGGGAUCUUCGGACCUUGCGCGAUUGAAUGAGCCGAUGUCGGAUUAGCUAGUUGGCGGGGUAAAGGCCCACCAAGGCGACGAUCCGUAGCUGGUCUGAGAGGAUGAAUAGCCCAACUGGAACCGAGACAACGUCCAAGCUCCUACGGGGGGGAACCGUGGGGAAUAUUGGAAAAAGGGCGGCAAGCUGGUCCCGCCCUACCGCGUGGGGUAAAGAAGCCUUCGGGUUGUUAAAGCCCUUUGUUGGGGAAAAAAAGCAGCCGGUUUAAACCCCGCUGUUCUGGCGGUAACCAAAGAAUAAGCAACGGCCAACUUCGUG